GCCUUCGUGGUGUAAUGGUCAGCACGCUCGACGCGUAUUCGAGAGGUACGUGGUUCGAGUCCCGGAGAAGGCG
This is a non-coding RNA of Stegodyphus mimosarum, 73 nucleotides long. The record is from Rfam. Lineage: Eukaryota; Metazoa; Arthropoda; Arachnida; Araneae; Eresidae.